AUUGAACGCUGGCGGAAUGCUUUACACAUGCAAGUCGAACGGCAGCACGGACUUCGGUCUGGUGGCGAGUGGCGAACGGGUGAGUAAUGUAUCGGAACGUGCCCAGUCGUGGGGGAUAACGUAGUGAAAAUUACGCUAAUACAGCAUACGAUCUAUGGAUGAAAGCGGGGGAUCGCAAGACCUCGCGCGAUUGGCGCGGCCGAUAUCAGAUUAGGUAGUUGGUGGGGGAAAGGCCUACCAAGCCAACGAUCUGUAACUGGUCUGAGAGGACGACCAGCCACACUGGGACUGAGACACGGUCCAGACUCCUACGGGAGGCAGCAGUGGGGAAUUUUGGACAAUGGGCGAAAGCCUGAUCCAGCCAUUCCGCGUGCAGGAUGAAGGCCCUCGGGUUGUAAACUGCUUUUGUACAGAACGAAAAGGUUUCUACUAAUACUAGGAGCUCAUGACGGUACUGUAAGAAUAAGCACCGGCUAACUACGUGCCAGCAGCCGCGGUAA
This 500-nucleotide ribosomal RNA is filed under the name uncultured bacterium. RNAcentral describes it as "partial 16S ribosomal RNA". It matches the Rfam family "Bacterial small subunit ribosomal RNA", at positions 30 to 523 of the family's 1533-position model. The record is from RNAcentral.